Molecule: ribosomal RNA, 1552 nt
Filed under: Salmonella enterica subsp. enterica serovar Weslaco
Lineage: Bacteria; Pseudomonadati; Pseudomonadota; Gammaproteobacteria; Enterobacterales; Enterobacteriaceae
Description: bacterial SSU rRNA
Rfam family: Bacterial small subunit ribosomal RNA
Source: RNAcentral
AAAUUGAAGAGUUUGAUCAUGGCUCAGAUUGAACGCUGGCGGCAGGCCUAACACAUGCAAGUCGAACGGUAACAGGAAGCAGCUUGCUGCUUUGCUGACGAGUGGCGGACGGGUGAGUAAUGUCUGGGAAACUGCCUGAUGGAGGGGGAUAACUACUGGAAACGGUGGCUAAUACCGCAUAACGUCGCAAGACCAAAGAGGGGGACCUUCGGGCCUCUUGCCAUCAGAUGUGCCCAGAUGGGAUUAGCUUGUUGGUGAGGUAACGGCUCACCAAGGCGACGAUCCCUAGCUGGUCUGAGAGGAUGACCAGCCACACUGGAACUGAGACACGGUCCAGACUCCUACGGGAGGCAGCAGUGGGGAAUAUUGCACAAUGGGCGCAAGCCUGAUGCAGCCAUGCCGCGUGUAUGAAGAAGGCCUUCGGGUUGUAAAGUACUUUCAGCGGGGAGGAAGGUGUUGUGGUUAAUAACCACAGCAAUUGACGUUACCCGCAGAAGAAGCACCGGCUAACUCCGUGCCAGCAGCCGCGGUAAUACGGAGGGUGCAAGCGUUAAUCGGAAUUACUGGGCGUAAAGCGCACGCAGGCGGUCUGUCAAGUCGGAUGUGAAAUCCCCGGGCUCAACCUGGGAACUGCAUUCGAAACUGGCAGGCUUGAGUCUUGUAGAGGGGGGUGGAAUUCCAGGUGUAGCGGUGAAAUGCGUAGAGAUCUGGAGGAAUACCGGUGGCGAAGGCGGCCCCCUGGACAAAGACUGACGCUCAGGUGCGAAAGCGUGGGGAGCAAACAGGAUUAGAUACCCUGGUAGUCCACGCCGUAAACGAUGUCUACUUGGAGGUUGUGCCCUUGAGGCGUGGCUUCCGGAGCUAACGCGUUAAGUAGACCGCCUGGGGAGUACGGCCGCAAGGUUAAAACUCAAAUGAAUUGACGGGGGCCCGCACAAGCGGUGGAGCAUGUGGUUUAAUUCGAUGCAACGCGAAGAACCUUACCUGGUCUUGACAUCCACGGAAGUUUUCAGAGAUGAGAAUGUGCCUUCGGGAACCGUGAGACAGGUGCUGCAUGGCUGUCGUCAGCUCGUGUUGUGAAAUGUUGGGUUAAGUCCCGCAACGAGCGCAACCCUUAUCCUUUGUUGCCAGCGAUUAGGUCGGGAACUCAAAGGAGACUGCCAGUGAUAAACUGGAGGAAGGUGGGGAUGACGUCAAGUCAUCAUGGCCCUUACGACCAGGGCUACACACGUGCUACAAUGGCGCAUACAAAGAGAAGCGACCUCGCGAGAGCAAGCGGACCUCAUAAAGUGCGUCGUAGUCCGGAUUGGAGUCUGCAACUCGACUCCAUGAAGUCGGAAUCGCUAGUAAUCGUGGAUCAGAAUGCCACGGUGAAUACGUUCCCGGGCCUUGUACACACCGCCCGUCACACCAUGGGAGUGGGUUGCAAAAGAAGUAGGUAGCUUAACCUUCGGGAGGGCGCUUACCACUUUGUGAUUCAUGACUGGGGUGAAGUCGUAACAAGGUAACCGUAGGGGAACCUGCGGUUGGAUCACCUCCUUACCUGAAAGAA